AGGCCCGUUGCAUAAUGGUAGUGCCUCACUCUUAUACAGUGAUGGUGAGGGUUCAAUUCCUUCCGGGCCUACCA
RNAcentral lists this transfer RNA (74 nucleotides) under Candidatus Daviesbacteria bacterium. Its description in RNAcentral is "tRNA-Ile". It matches the Rfam family "tRNA". Rfam says of the family: Transfer RNA (tRNA) molecules are approximately 80 nucleotides in length. Their secondary structure includes four short double-helical elements and three loops (D, anti-codon, and T loops). The record is from RNAcentral. Lineage: Bacteria; Candidatus Daviesiibacteriota.